AGGUCUUCGGACCUAGUGGCGCACGGGUGAGUAACAUGUGGGAAUCUACCUGAAGGUUCGGAAUAACUGCGGGAAACUGUAGCUAAUACCGGAUGUGUCUGCAAAGAGAAAGAUUUAUCGCCUUCAGAUGAGCCCGCACUAGAUUAGCUAGUUGGUGAGGUAAUUGCUCCACCAAGGCUACGAUCUAUAGCUGAUUUGAGAGGAUGAUCAGCCACACUGGGACUGAGACACGGCCCAGACUCCUACGGGAGGCAGCAGUAGGGAAUAUUGGACAAUGGGGGAAACCCUGAUCCAGCAAUGCCGCGUGAGUAAAGAAGGCCUUCGGGUUGUAAAACUCUUUCAUCAAUGAUGAUAAUGACAUUAGUUGAAGAAGAAGCUCCGGCUAACUUCGUGCCAGCAGCCGCGGUAAUACGAAGGGGGCUAGCGUUGUUCGGAAUCACUGGGCGUAAAGCGUAUGUAGGCGGAUCAAAAAGUUAGAUGUGAAAUCCCUGGGCUCAACCCAGGAACUGCAUUUAAAACUAGUGAUCUAGAAUUUGGUAGGGGUUAGUAGAAUUUCCAGUGUAGAGGUGAAAUUCGUAGAUAUUGGAAAGAAUACCAGUGGCGAAGGCGACUAACUGGCCCAUUUUUGACGCUGAGAUACGAAAGCGUGGGUAGCAAACAGGAUUAGAUACCCUGGUAGUCCACGCAGUAAACGAUGAGUGCUAGUCGCUGGGACAAUAGUUUCAGUGUCGAAGCUAACGCAUUAAGCACUCCGCCUGGGAAGUACGGUCGCAAGAUUAAAACUCAAAUAAAUUGACGGGGGCCCGCACAAGCGGU
RNAcentral lists this ribosomal RNA (816 nucleotides) under uncultured marine bacterium. Its description in RNAcentral is "bacterial SSU rRNA". It matches the Rfam family "Bacterial small subunit ribosomal RNA", at positions 69 to 933 of the family's 1533-position model. The record is from RNAcentral.